UGGACCAAUGAUGACAGUGUGCUAUGUACUAAGGAUGUGAUUAAUCCAAUUCUGUGCACCUGAUGUAUAAA
This 71-nucleotide small nucleolar RNA is filed under the name Loxodonta africana (African savanna elephant). Its description in RNAcentral is "Small nucleolar RNA SNORD112 (ENSLAFG00000033227.1)". The record is from RNAcentral. Lineage: Eukaryota; Metazoa; Chordata; Mammalia; Proboscidea; Elephantidae.